RNAcentral lists this small RNA (2724 nucleotides) under Pongo abelii (Sumatran orangutan). RNAcentral describes it as "retained intron". The record is from RNAcentral. Lineage: Eukaryota; Metazoa; Chordata; Mammalia; Primates; Hominidae.
ACUCUCUGGUUUCCGCCCUGGAGCAAGCCCUGGCCUGGUCGGCAGCUGGGCCGCCAUGGAGUCCACGCUGGGCGCGGGCAUCGUGAUAGCCGAGGCGCUACAGAACCAGCUAGCCUGGCUGGAGAACGUGUGGCUCUGGAUCACCUUUCUGGGCGAUCCCAAGAUCCUCUUUCUGUUCUACUUCCCCGCGGCCUACUACGCCUCCCGCCGUGUGGGCAUCGCGGUGCUCUGGAUCAGCCUCAUCACCGAGUGGCUCAACCUCAUCUUCAAGUGGUGAGACAGAGAAGCCCUCCGGCAUCCUGGUCCCCACCCCCGAGGGCCCUGAGUCAUGUGUAAGCCCUGGUCUCUUUCAGCAAUUGUCUCAAGGGCCUUCCCACCCCUACUCUGUAGUCCCUGAUUUUUUUCCCCCUUGAGCAUCUUUGUGCAGCUUGGACUCAAACCUCAGAGUCCAACCAUCCUACUCAUUAGACCAGUGUUCUUCAAACUGGUCUGAUGGAAAAAUCAUCUAAGGGGCGUGUCUAAAAUGUAAAUAUCCCAUCCUCAUCUCACACUUACUAAUUUAGAAACUCCAAGGGGUUGGGAAUUUAUUUUUUUUUAUUUUUGGUUUAUGAGAAUUCAUAUUUUAACAAGUAUCUAUGGUGAUUUAAGUAGUGGAGAGUCCUACCUCUCAACUCACUUUUUCAUUCAUCUAUUCAUUUGCUAUAAUUUUUCAGAAGCAUGCUUUGUGCUGGGCAUCACAGUAGCUGCUAAGGACAGAGACACCUUGCAGAUUAAGGUGUGGUCCCUGGACUAUGCCCAACGGCAUAGGCAGCACUUGAAAACUAGCUAGAAAUGCAGACUCUCAGGCCCCGGGCCAGAGCUACUGAAUCAAAAUCUGCAUUUUAACAAGGUUCCCAGGUGAUUCCCUGUGCGUAUGCAGUAAAGUUUGGGCUAAAGCACUGCUUUCCAGGGAACACUUUCUCUUCUUUCUCUUUCAUUCACCAGUAGACUCUUCACACUGAGACUUAGAAGCCAGGAAUCCCAGGGACACGGGUGGAGGCCCUGUGGCCCUUGGGGCUGGGCAUGCAGCCACACCUCCCUUCACCUCAGCCUCUGUGGCCAAAUACUCAGCCUGGGGGAAGGAAGGGAGGUUCAUAGGAGGUAUUUCAAUGGGCUGGAAUGACUUGCUGAAAAACAACAUAGAGUUCCCCUCCCUUCCACUCUUUUCCAGGAGGGCCUCAUCCUUAUGUAAAGGGAACCACAGUGGUCUGUUCACUUCUUUCUUGCCUAAUUGCCCUUUGCUUUGUGCUUUCUCCUCCCUCAAAGUCUGUAUAAGCCUCCCCUUCUAGUCCUUGUCCCCCAAAGAUCACAGUCUCCUUCAGACACUAUUAAUGUCCCCCAGGUGGCAAAGUCCCUCUUCAUUUUCAUUUUCUUUUUUCUUUCUUUUUUUUUUUUUUUUUUGAGACGGAGUCUCGCUCAGUCGCCCAGGCUGGAGUGCAGUGGCGCAAUCUUGGCUCACUGCAAACUCCGCCUCCCGGGUUCAUGCCAUUCUCCUGCCUCAGCCUCCCAAGUAGCUGGGAUUAUAGGCACCCACUACCACGCCUGGCUAAUUUUUGUAUUUUUAGUAGAGACAGGGUUUCGUCUUGUUGGCCAGGCUAGUCUCAAACUCCUGGCCUCAAGUGAUCCACCCUCCUCUGCCUCCCAAAGUGCUGGGAUUACAGGCGUGAGCCACCGCGCCUGGCACCCCCGUUCAUUUUCUGUGUGAGCACUUGAUGUAUACUAGGCUCAGUUUUCAGAGAGGAGAGGCAAGUGCUUUCUGUAUCUCCCUCCCCAGCACGUGGCCUCCUGCCAGCAUCUCUUUUGCUACCCCAUCUUUUCACUUUCUGGCCACAGCAGCCUCUUCAUUGUGUGGUUCCCAGGGCCCAGCCAAGCACUUGCUAGACCAGAGGAUUUUGACAUUUUUUUGUCCUCCUUAUUCUUUCUCAGCCUUCUCUGUCCAUUUCCCACUCCCAUUUUCAGACCCAAGAGGCUCACCUAAAUAAUUUAGGUGUGGAUAAUUCAGGCUGUAACUGGGGACAUGGAGGCAGGGGUAGCAGGUGGGUUAGUGAGGGCCUGGGGGAGAGAGCUGGGUCCUGGACUCUCUGUGGAUGAUAAGAGCUGGCCUUGCAGUGAGAGGGGGUAGAGUGGGACGACUGAGUAUCUCAGAGCACACACACAUGCUUACCACAAUCUCUUGCCUCUGCAUCAGUUUUAUUUUUUAUUUUAUUUACUUUUUCUUUUUUUGAGACAGGAUCUCACCCCAUCACCAGGCUGGAGUACAAUGGCACGAACACAGCUCACUGCAGCCUCAACCUCCUGGGCUCAAGUGAUCCUUCCCACUUCAGCCUCUGGAGUAGCAGGGACUACAGGCGCACCCCAAGAUGCCUGGCUAAUUUUUGUAUUUUUUGUAGAGAUGGAGUUUUGUCAUGUUGCCCAGGCUAUUCUCGAAAUCCUGGGCUCAAGUGAUCUGCCCACCCAGCCUCCCAAGUAGCUGAGACUAUAGGUGUGCACCACCACUUCCAGCUAAUUUUUUGUUUUUGUUGAAUCUGGGUCUUGCUAUGUUGCCCAGGCUGGUCAUGAACUCCUGGCUUCAAGUGAUCCUCCAGCUAAGGCCUCCCAAAGUACUGGGAAUACAGUCAUGAGCCACUGUACCUGGCCCCAGACUAGUCUUUAAAAAUAGUGUUUCCACAGGCUCUGAGGGUUAGG